Molecule: ribosomal RNA, 420 nt
Filed under: bacterium
Lineage: Bacteria
Description: partial 16S ribosomal RNA
Rfam family: Bacterial small subunit ribosomal RNA
Source: RNAcentral
UGGGGGAUAUUGCACAAUGGGCGAAAGCCUGAUGCAGCGACGCCGCGUGGGGGAUGAAGGCUUUCGCGUUGUAAACCUCUUUCGCUAUCGAACAAGGCCCGCUUAGGGUGGGUUGAGGGUAGGUGGAGAAGAAGCGCCGGCUAACUACGUGCCAGCAGCCGCGGUAAUACGUAGGGCGCGAGCGUUGUCCGGAAUUAUUGGGCGUAAAGGGCUUGUAGGCGGCUUGUUGCGCCUGCUGUGAAAACGCGGGGCUUAACUUCGUGCGUGCAGUGGGUACGGGCAGGCUUGAGUGUGGUAGGGGUGACUGGAAUUCCAGGUGUAGCGGUGGAAUGCGCAGAUAUCUGGAGGAACACCGAUGGCGAAGGCAGGUCACUGGGCCAUUACUGACGCUGAGGAGCGAAAGCAUGGGUAGCGAACAGG